RNAcentral lists this ribosomal RNA (472 nucleotides) under uncultured Geobacillus sp. RNAcentral's name for it is "bacterial SSU rRNA". It matches the Rfam family "Bacterial small subunit ribosomal RNA", at positions 906 to 1382 of the family's 1533-position model. The record is from RNAcentral. Lineage: Bacteria; Bacillati; Bacillota; Bacilli; Caryophanales; Anoxybacillaceae.
GGAAUUGACGGGGCCGCACAAGCGGUGGAGCAUGUGGUUUAAUUCGAAGCGACGCGAGAACCUUACCAGGUCUUGACAUCCCCUGACAACCCAAGAGAUUGGGCGUUCCCCUUCGGGGGACGGGUGACAGGUGGUGCAUGGUUGUCGUCAGCUCGUGUCGUGAGAUGUUGGGUUAAGUCCCGCAACGAGCGCAACCCUCGCCUCUAGUUGCCAGCAUUCGGUUGGGCACUCUAGAGGGACUGCCGGCGACAAGUCGGAGGAAGUGGGGAUGACGUCAAAUCAUCAUGCCCCUUAUGACCUGGGCUACACACGUGCUACAAUGGGCGGUACAAAGGGCUGCGAACCCGCGAGGGGGAGCGAAUCCCAAAAAGCCGCUCUCAGUUCGGAUUGCAGGCUGCAACUCGCCUGCAUGAAGCCGGAAUCGCUAGUAAUCGCGGAUCAGCAUGCCGCGGUGAAUACGUUCCCGGGCCUU